This 728-nucleotide ribosomal RNA is filed under the name Staphylococcus epidermidis. RNAcentral's name for it is "bacterial SSU rRNA". It matches the Rfam family "Bacterial small subunit ribosomal RNA", at positions 77 to 790 of the family's 1533-position model. The record is from RNAcentral. Lineage: Bacteria; Bacillati; Bacillota; Bacilli; Caryophanales; Staphylococcaceae.
AGCUUGCUCCUCUGACGUUAGCGGCGGACGGGUGAGUAACACGUGGAUAACCUACCUAUAAGACUGGGAUAACUUCGGGAAACCGGAGCUAAUACCGGAUAAUAUAUUGAACCGCAUGGUUCAAUAGUGAAAGACGGUUUUGCUGUCACUUAUAGAUGGAUCCGCGCCGCAUUAGCUAGUUGGUAAGGUAACGGCUUACCAAGGCAACGAUGCGUAGCCGACCUGAGAGGGUGAUCGGCCACACUGGAACUGAGACACGGUCCAGACUCAUACGGGAGGCAGCAGUAGGGAAUCUUCCGCAAUGGGCGAAAGCCUGACGGAGCAACGCCGCGUGAGUGAUGAAGGUCUUCGGAUCGUAAAACUCUGUUAUUAGGGAAGAACAAAUGUGUAAGUAACUAUGCACGUCUUGACGGUACCUAAUCAGAAAGCCACGGCUAACUACGUGCCAGCAGCCGCGGUAAUACGUAGGUGGCAAGCGUUAUCCGGAAUUAUUGGGCGUAAAGCGCGCGUAGGCGGUUUUUUAAGUCUGAUGUGAAAGCCCACGGCUCAACCGUGGAGGGUCAUUGGAAACUGGAAAACUUGAGUGCAGAAGAGGAAAGUGGAAUUCCAUGUGUAGCGGUGAAAUGCGCAGAGAUAUGGAGGAACACCAGUGGCGAAGGCGACUUUCUGGUCUGUAACUGACGCUGAUGUGCGAAAGCGUGGGGAUCAAACAGGAUUAGAUACCCUGG